GGUAUUUGCUGGCAGCCACCGAAGUGUUCGUCUUACGACUCUAAUUGCAUGUUGGGGCUAAAGGCUUGAAUCCAAGCCCUGGUGCGGAAAGUCCUCGAAUUCAUGUAUUCUUCUCUUGGGUCUGCACGGGUGUGCUGUGGGACUUGUACUAAAUAUAGCAAUGCAUUUUGAAUGAGAUUCCAAGAGCCUUUGAUUCGGAGCUCAUUUAGCUAAUCAAAUCCUAAAUCAUAUUAUGAGAACUGCACAAUCUGAUAUCAAACAAAAACUGAAAGAAAAAAAGAAAACCUCGAUUCUCAUUCGGAGUUCCCUCGUUGAUGUUUCCAGUCUCGGCAGAAGCAAGAACACCUUCUUCCAGAUGAAGUUCCAAGAAAGAAAGGUGAAACAUUUUUUGAAAGCUCCAAAUCCGAUGACUUCAGAAGGUAGAGUUAUCCCCAUUAUCGUUGAAGCAUCAGAAAACACUUUCCGAUGGAUCUUGGAAAAUAAGUU
RNAcentral lists this long non-coding RNA (486 nucleotides) under Gossypium raimondii (Peruvian cotton). RNAcentral describes it as "long non-coding RNA (GRAI_LNC003555)". Lineage: Eukaryota; Viridiplantae; Streptophyta; Magnoliopsida; Malvales; Malvaceae. The record is from RNAcentral.